Molecule: ribosomal RNA, 484 nt
Filed under: uncultured bacterium
Lineage: Bacteria
Description: partial 16S ribosomal RNA
Rfam family: Bacterial small subunit ribosomal RNA
Source: RNAcentral
AUUGAACGCUGGCGGAAUGCUUUACACAUGCAAGUCGAACGGCAGCACGGGGGCAGCCCUGGUGGCGAGUGGCGAACGGGUGAGUAAUACAUCGGAACGUGCCCGGUCGUGGGGGAUAACGUAGCGAAAGUUACGCUAAUACCGCAUACGAUCUGAGGAUGAAAGCGGGGGACCUUCGGGCCUCGCGCGAUCGGGGCGGCCGAUGUCAGAUUAGGUAGUUGGUGGGGUAAAGGCCUACCAAGCCGGCGAUCUGUAGCUGGUCUGAGAGGACGACCAGCCACACUGGGACUGAGACACGGCCCAGACUCCUACGGGAGGCAGCAGUGGGGAAUUUUGGACAAUGGGCGCAAGCCUGAUCCAGCCAUUCCGCGUGCAGGACGAAGGCCUUCGGGUUGUAAACUGCUUUUGUACGGAACGAAAAGGCUCUGGCUAAUACCUGGGGCUAAUGACGGUACCGUAAGAAUAAGCACCGGCUAACUACGUG